This 446-nucleotide ribosomal RNA is filed under the name uncultured bacterium. RNAcentral's name for it is "partial 16S ribosomal RNA". It matches the Rfam family "Bacterial small subunit ribosomal RNA", at positions 338 to 795 of the family's 1533-position model. The record is from RNAcentral.
CCUACGGGAGGCAGCAGUCGAGAAUCAUUCACAAUGGGGGAAACCCUGAUGGUGCGACGCCGCGUGGGGGAAUGAAGGUCUUCGGAUUGUAAACCCCUGUCAUGUGGGAGCAAAUUAAAAAGAUAGUACCACAAGAGGAAGAGACGGCUAACUCUGUGCCAGCAGCCGCGGUAAUACAGAGGUCUCAAGCGUUGUUCGGAAUCACUGGGCGUAAGGCGUGCGUAGGCUGUUUCGUAAGUCGUGUGUGAAAGGCGCGGGCUCAACCCGCGGACGGCACAUGAUACUGCGAGACUAGAGUAAUGGAGGGGGAACCGGAAUUCUCGGUGUAGCAGUGAAAUGCGUAGAUAUCGAGAGGAACACUCGUGGCGAAGGCGGGUUCCUGGACAUUAACUGACGCUGAGGCACGAAGGCCAUGGGAGCGAAAGGGAUUAGAUACCCGUGUAGUC